GUAAAGCGGAGUUGCCGCUGCUGUUGGGUAAGAAAACAAGAUUAUCUUCUUAUCCAAAAAAGAUGACACCAACUGGGUUACUCUCAAAGGACAACCAAGUGAGCACCACAGACUAAUGAGUAGAAUCAACAAGAACGUGAUUUUGGCGCUUUUAACUUUGACAAGUUCUGCAUUUCUGCUGUUUCAAUUAUACUACUACAAGCACUAUAUAUCAGCAAAGAAUGGAGCUGGUGUAUCAAAAUCUAAGGGAAACCGAAUUGGAUUUGAUAGCACACAGUGGCGUGCAGUUAAAAAAUUUGUUAUGCUAACAUCCAGCCAAAAUGUACCAGUGUUCCUUAUCGAUCCUUUGAUUCUGGAAUUGAUUAAUAAAGACUUUGAACAAGUCAAAAAUAUUUCUCAUGGCUCCACUUCAGAAUGCAAGUUUUUCUGUGUUCCAAGAGACUUUACUGCAUUUGCACUGCGGUAUCACCUAUGGAAGAAUGAGGAGGGCUGGUUUCGGACGGCUGAAAAUAUGGGCUUUCAGUGCCUAAAGGUUGAGAGCAAAGACCCCCGGCUGGAUGGAAUAGACUCACUUUCUGGAACCGAAAUUCCCCUGCACUACAUCUGCAGAUUGGCUAAUCAUGCCAUCCACUUGGUGGUCUUUCAUGAGAGGAGUGGCAACUACCUCUGGCACGGCCAUUUACGACUCAAAGGACGCGUGGACCGGAAAUUUGUUCCUUUUCGAAAGUUACAGUUUGGCCGUUAUCCUGGAGCUUUUGACAGGCCAGAGUUACAACAAAUUACUGUUGAUGGACUCGAAGUUCUCAUCCCGAAAGAUCCAGUGCACUUUCUAGAAGAAAUACCACACUCUCGGUUUAUUGAGUGUAGGUAUAAGGAAGCUCGAGCAUUUUUUCAGCAGUACCUUGAUGAUAACACUGUGGAAGCCAUGGCCUUUCGGAAGAGUGCAAAGGAAUUGUUGCAGCUAGCAGCCAGAACGUUAAAGAAAUUGGGAGUCCGGUUCUGGCUGAGCAGUGGAACUUGUCUAGGAUGGUAUCGGCAAUGCAACAUUAUUCCUUAUAGUAAAGAUGUUGACCUAGGAAUUUUUAUACAAGAUUAUAAAUCUGAUAUUAUUUCAGCAUUUCAGGAUGUAGGACUUCCACUCAAACACAAAUUUGGGAAGGUAGAGGACAGCUUGGAACUAUCUUUCCAGGGAAAAGAUGAUGUAAAACUCGACAUUUUUUUCUUCUAUGAAGAGACUGACCAUAUGUGGAAUGGAGGCACUCAGGCCAAAACGGGAAAAAAAUUUAAGUACCUAUUUCCCAAGUUUACACUGUGCUGGACUGAGUUUGUAGACAUGAAGAUUCAUGUGCCCUGUGAAACCAUUGACUACAUUGAAGCCAACUAUGGUAAGACCUGGAAGAUUCCCGUGAAGACAUGGGACUGGAAGCGCUCUCCCCCCAAUGUACGGCCCAAUGGAGUCUGGCCUAUUUCUGAGUGGGAUGAGGUUAUCCAGUUAUACUGAGACAGUAACUUGAAAUGGUAGAAUUCCUCGUCUGAAACAAAGGUGGAUAACUGUUUAAGAAGAUACAUCUCUAUGUGUCAAACGUAAGUAGGAGCCAAAGAUGUAUGUCAAGUUUGAAGACGCAGAGAGUCUUAACCUCUGAGCCAUCUGAUUUAAUCCUCUCAUUUUACAUUUGUUAAGGAGCCCCCAUGUGCCAGGUGCAGUGCUAGGUUACAGUGGAGGAGCAGAAGUGAGUGAGGCACGUGCCUGUCUCUCUUUCCCUUCCCUUUGAAAAACCAAAGGGUGACUUCACAGACCAAGGGAAAGCCUUUGCUUUUAGGAAGCUGUCCUCGCCUCGUGUCAUGCCGGUUAUCAUUCAC
RNA transcript from Prionailurus viverrinus (fishing cat), 1860 nucleotides. It is a transcript of the gene named fukutin, with no coding region annotated. The transcript has 11 exons. NCBI's taxonomy places the organism in Eukaryota, Metazoa, Chordata, Mammalia, Carnivora, Felidae. The record is from RefSeq and is a predicted model, not a curated record.